UACGGAAGGCAGCAGUGGGGAAUAUUGCACAAUGGGCGCAAGCCUGAUGCAGCCAUGCCGCGUGUAUGAAGAAGGCCUUCGGGUUGUAAAGUACUUUCAGCGGGGAGGAAGGCGAUGCGGUUAAUAACCGCGUCGAUUGACGUUACCCGCAGAAGAAGCACCGGCUAACUCCGUGCCAGCAGCCGCGGUAAUACGGAGGGUGCAAGCGUUAAUCGGAAUUACUGGGCGUAAAGCGCACGCAGGCGGUCUGUUAAGUCAGAUGUGAAAUCCCCGGGCUUAACCUGGGAACUGCAUUUUGAAACUGGCAGGCUUGAGUCUUGUAGAGGGGGUAGAAUUCCAGGUGUAGCGGUGAAAUGCGUAGAGAUCUGGAGGAAUACCGGUGGCGAAGGCGGCCCCUGGGACAAAGACUGACGCUCAGGUGCGAAAGCGUGGGGAGCAAACAGGAUUAGGAUACC
This 455-nucleotide ribosomal RNA is filed under the name uncultured bacterium. RNAcentral's name for it is "bacterial SSU rRNA". It matches the Rfam family "Bacterial small subunit ribosomal RNA", at positions 340 to 786 of the family's 1533-position model. The record is from RNAcentral.